GGUCAGCUAGCUCAGUUGGUAGAGCAACGGACUCUUAAUCCGUGGGUCCAGGGUUCGAGCCCCUGGCUGACCACUA
Molecule: transfer RNA, 76 nt
Filed under: Leuconostoc mesenteroides
Lineage: Bacteria; Bacillati; Bacillota; Bacilli; Lactobacillales; Lactobacillaceae
Also listed under: 18 other names
Description: tRNA-Lys
Rfam family: tRNA
About the family: Transfer RNA (tRNA) molecules are approximately 80 nucleotides in length. Their secondary structure includes four short double-helical elements and three loops (D, anti-codon, and T loops). Further hydrogen bonds mediate the characteristic L-shaped molecular structure. tRNAs have two regions of fundamental functional importance: the anti-codon, which is responsible for specific mRNA codon recognition, and the 3' end, to which the tRNAs corresponding amino acid is attached (by aminoacyl-tRNA synthetases). tRNAs cope with the degeneracy of the genetic code in two manners: having more than one tRNA (with a specific anti-codon) for a particular amino acid; and 'wobble' base-pairing, i.e. permitting non-standard base-pairing at the 3rd anti-codon position.
Source: RNAcentral